Long non-coding RNA from Gorilla gorilla gorilla (western lowland gorilla), 390 nucleotides. RefSeq lists it as uncharacterized. The transcript has 3 exons. Lineage: Eukaryota; Metazoa; Chordata; Mammalia; Primates; Hominidae. The record is from RefSeq and is a predicted model, not a curated record.
AAAGGGACACUUUGCCCUAACAUACUGCCCCCUCCACCAGGAAGCCUCACUGCCUGAAAAUCCACAUUCAUUGAAGAGCCUUGCUAACAUAACAAGGCUGCCAGAAUAGGAGAAAAAUUCAUGUCCUUCCUGCCUCUUAGGCUCUAGUAAAUGGAGGUUGAAGAGGAGCUUUAUAAAUUACAAGGUGCUAUUUAUCUGUCAUUGAAGGAUGUUGUUUUUAACACCCAAACGGAGCAUAGGACGCCCUGCACCGUGCACUAAGGAUACAGAAGUAAGUAAGACUGAGGACACUGAAGCUACCAGAGAAGCCAGACAUGCAUAGAAGCCAUGACAAUACACCACAGGACAUACCAUGCUAGAGGUAUGUACAAAACACAGUUAGGAGCUCAG